This is a long non-coding RNA of Odocoileus virginianus texanus, 3644 nucleotides long. RefSeq lists it as uncharacterized. NCBI's taxonomy places the organism in Eukaryota, Metazoa, Chordata, Mammalia, Artiodactyla, Cervidae. The record is from RefSeq and is a predicted model, not a curated record.
AGUUUGCUCAACUAUAAAAUGAGGCUAUAUCAGUUUUUACCCAAUAGGGUGAAUAUAAGGGUUAAGUUACAUAAUGUACGUAAAAUGCACAUGGUUGAUGGCCUCCAAGAUGACUCCAUCAAUUCCUUCCUCCUAUGCACAUGCUGCUCCUCUAGAGUGAGAUGAGGUCUAAUUCCUUUUUGCCCUCACGUCGAGACCAGCUUCAGUGACAUGCUCAACUACCAGAAGCCAGCAAAAGUGAAAUUCUAAAAUAGCUGAAGCUAAGUUACAGGAAGUCCUGCAGCUUCUGCCUGGACCUCUCGAAACACUUGCUUUUGUGAUGCUUCUUCUCAGAACCCGCUGUCAUGCUGCUAGAAGCCCUAGCCUGUUGGAGGGGUCACACAUCAUCCCUCUGGUUGACGAACCCAGCUAAGCUCAUGGUCAACAGCCAGCAUCACCCGCCAGCAUUGUGAGUGACCCCUCUUGGACAUGCAUCCCAGGAGAACCCUCAGAUGGUAAUGGCCCAGCUGACAUCUGACCACAACUGCAUGAUAAAUGCUGUACAGCAGAGAACAAAAGGGAGAGAGAAAUCAACUUGAACACACAGAGGACUUCUCCCCAAGACCAGCGGGGAGGAAGGUGAGUGAGAAGUCACACAGUCCUCAAGCCUGAAACAGAGCCGGGAAGUGGGAUGGCGGAGGCGUGUGUGAAAGUGGAGACUUCCUUUCUAAAGGUGCUCAAAGGAGAAUAUUGCACAACCACACUCAGGAGCAAUCCGGAUGCUUUAAAACAAUGCUGUGCAGAAACUGUUUUAGCUACACCAAAAGCAACUAUCUUUUGCUCCAGUCUAUGCGAACAUCAGUCCAUUUCUAUUCCAAAAAUCUUGCUUGAACCCCUAGGAUGUGUUGGAGACUAUAGCAAAUGUAAUCAAGGAGAGGAGGCUAGGAUUUACUGAAUACCACAGGUUCUGUACUGGGACAAUGGUUCAAAUUUCCUCAUUUAGUCCUGGUAAUAAUCCUCAAAGGUCUUUUUGCCCCUGUUUGCCAAAUGAGGAGACUGGGGCUCAGAAAGAAGACAUGACCUUGCCCAAGGUCACACAGUCAGUGGCAGAGGCUCAUCUGACCCCCAGUCCAUCCUCUUGCAGCUACAUCUUGCAGCAGCCGUGUAACCACAAAUGAGACACACCUCCUGCAAUGAAAGACCUUUUCAGUGAUUUGGAAGGAAAGGACACAUAUUAAGAUAAUAAUUACAAGAUUCCAGAAAACACACAAGGCUGGCCUGAGCGGGCAAGAAUUCAAGGAGAAAAUGAGAUUCCCAACUGAAUAAAUGUUUCCUUAUUUAUUCUUCCGAACAUCAUGUGUUGAGAGUUAAUCACACCCCUGCUCUGUGGCUUGUCACCAUCAUGGGUCUGUGACAGCCUCUUUCUUAUGUAUUUAUUAAUUAAUGUACUCGCUUUUCUCCUCGUUCCCUUCUCCCAGAAGCAAUCCAUCCUCAUAUAUUUCUUGGGCAUCUUUUUGCUUGAGUAUGUUCUUGCAAAAUGUAUAUUGUUUGGCAUGCGGGUUUAAAAGAUUUACAUAAAUGAUAUUAUGCAGAAUACCUCAUUCCUUUUCCUCACUCCGGGCUCGACUGUUAGGGUGUAUCUGCGGAGCUUCGUGUCUAUCUAAUGUGCUGAUGCCGAGAGCUGCGGCAGACUCUGGCUGCGUGUCCCCACACCUGCCCACCCGCUUCCGCAGUGAUGGACACUGAGACAGUGCCCAGCUCCCCACCUCUAGGACCCCACUGCAGUAUCUUUCUUUGUACAUGUCUUUUUACAGAGCUCUGUGAGGCUGUCUUUGGGCUAUCUGCCCAGGAGUGGAACUCUGGAGUUUGAUAUGUUUAAUUUGACAGUCAUGUCAGAUUGCUGUUCAGAAUUACACCAGUCUGCCUUUCCCAUCAGCCUUCCCUGAGAGUUCUUAUAACCUCUUAUCCACUCUGACACAUGGCAUGUAUCUAAUUUUUCCUAGUUUAAUAGGUGUGAAAUGACAUCUCAAAUUGCUUUAAUUUUAAUAUCUCUAAUUAUAAAUGAGUUUAUGUAAAGCAUACAGUCUUUUUUUAACUGCCUACUGUGUGCUGUGGGUGAUCUGGAACCAGCAGGUGACGUGGUCCGGGAUCUCACUAAGAUUUCACGAGGGUACAAAGCAAGACUGAGCUUAUAACAAGAGAGGCAUUAAAGGUGAGAAGACAGAACAGUUUGCAAUGAGAUUGAGAACAUCACUGUCCAACACUGAUAAUACAUUGGCAAGCGCUGAUUGAACCUCUUGGCCCAAUGCACCAACACAUUUGAAGGACCAAUUUACGUCUGACCAUCCUGGAGUGAAAUCAGACAAUUAGAAUCUUUUGUUAAAGAGAGGAAAACUCAAUUUGAAAAGACUAGAACUUUACCAAAAGGUGAAUUUGCUUUAUCAAAAAGCCUUAUCUUCAGCAUCCUACUAAGUUGCUAAUUGUGUUGCUAAAGAAAUACAGCCAUAAUUAAAGAGACAUCAUAAGGCCCCACUGAAAAGUAGCCUGAGUUAACACAGACUCUCCUAUCAAUAGAAAUUGUAGAUAAAAUAUUACAGUAAUAAUACAUAGUUGAGUUCACAAAAAAGAAAGGGAAAUCUCUGAAUGUCAGACAUGAAGAGAACAUGGAUGGAAUGGUGCCACAGUGGCCCGUAGAGAUAACAAACCACAUACAGGCCUUGGUCGAUCGAGUUGUUAUGCCCUAGAAGACUGAAGUUGUGACCCUAAGCUCAUGGGAGGUGGUUGCCUGGAAUCAAGACCCAAGUAUAGAGCUGUGAAACUGGCAUGGGUUGUCAUCGUUGGGAAGGAAGACAAGAAAUUCUUUCCAAUGGCUCAGGGGAACUGUAAGGAAUUUUGUCUUUAUUCAGGGUCUGGGAAGAAAAACUGAAACCCUGAGCUUGUGUCAAGCAUGGGGCAGGAGUCCCAAGGCAAGAAAUUAACACCAAAUUCUGUCCCAGUGCAGCAGCAGUAAAUGUAAAACCACUCAGUAGAAACAGUUCCAACCCGGGAUACAUGGUCCUCAUACUGCAGAAACGAUCCCCACUAAGAUGAGCUCAAAACUUUAAAAUGAAAAAAACCACAUCAAGAAAUAAUCCAUCAUAAAUAAUGGAGAGUAAGAUGACAUGACAAAAAGAGAUGAUUAAAAUGCAUUGUGAUGAUUGAAAUGCAUCUCUUUGAGAGAUGAGAGAAAUGCAUUACAAGGUGUAACAUGUGUCUAACAGGAGGACCUAGCAGGAAGAAGAGUGAACAGAGGAAUGAAAAGAAAAUACUCAGAGAUGUUGGCUUGAGAAUCUCUCAGAAUUGAUGGAAAGCAUUAAUCUUCAGAUUUAGGAAACAAAGUAUGUUCUGAUCAAAAGAAAGCAAAUCCAUACUUCAGAUACAUUGCAGUGAAAUUACAGAAUAUCAAAGAGAUAGUGAAAAGCAACCAGAGAUGAAAGACAUAUUUGCCUGUAAAGGAAUCACAGCUAGAUUCAGAGAAGAUUUCUCAACAAUGCCAUGAAAGUUCAGAAGAUGCUGGAAUUAUAUCUUACAAGAUCUGAGGGAGAAUAACUGCCAAUCUAGAAUUCUGUAGUGAAUUAACUAUUAAGCAAGGGUGAAGGCAAAUAAAGUCAUUUUUAGAAAAAAGA